AACGAACGCUGGCGGCAUGCCUAACACAUGCAAGUCGAACGAGACCUUCGGGUCUAGUGGCGCACGGGUGCGUAACGCGUGGGAAUCUGCCCCUUGGUUCGGAAUAACUUCGGGAAACUGAAGCUAAUACCGGAUAAUGACGUAAGUCCAAAGAUUUAUCGCCAAGGGAUGAGCCCGCGUAGGAUUAGCUAGUUGGUGGGGUAAAGGCUCACCAAGGCGACGAUCCUUAGCUGGUCUGAGAGGAUGAUCAGCCACACUGGGACUGAGACACGGCCCAGACUCCUACGGGAGGCAGCAGUGGGGAAUAUUGGACAAUGGGCGAAAGCCUGAUCCAGCAAUGCCGCGUGAGUGAUGAAGGCCUUAGGGUUGUAAAGCUCUUUUGCCAGGGAAGAUGAUGACUGUACCUGGAGAAUAAGCCCCGGCU
Molecule: ribosomal RNA, 424 nt
Filed under: uncultured bacterium
Lineage: Bacteria
Description: bacterial SSU rRNA
Rfam family: Bacterial small subunit ribosomal RNA
Source: RNAcentral